This is an RNA transcript of Cebus imitator (Panamanian white-faced capuchin), 1492 nucleotides long. It is a transcript of the gene named adenylosuccinate synthetase isozyme 2-like, with no coding region annotated. The transcript has a single exon. NCBI's taxonomy places the organism in Eukaryota, Metazoa, Chordata, Mammalia, Primates, Cebidae. The record is from RefSeq and is a predicted model, not a curated record.
GGAGCCAUGGUGUUGGCCGAGACCUACGCGAUGGUAUCCUUCCUGCCCAACGGCGAUUGUGGCCGCCCCAGGGCACGGCCCGGAGGAAACAAGGUGACGGUGGUGCUCGGUGCGCAGUGGGGCUACGAAGGCAAAGGGAAGGUGGUGGAUCCACUGGUGCAGGACGCUGACAUCAUGUGCUGCUGCCAGGGAGGAAAUAAUGCUGGCCAUACAGUUGUUGUGGAUUUUGUGGAAUAUGAUUUUCAUCUCUUACCCAGUGGGAUAAUUAAUCCAAAUGUGGCUGCAUUCAUUGGAAAUGGUGUGGUAAUUCAUCUACCUGGAUUGUUUGAAGAAGCAGAGAAAAAUGUUCAAAAAGGAAAAGGACUAGAAGGCUGGGGAAAAAGGUUUAUCAUAUCUGACAGAGCUCAUACUGUAUUUGAUUUUCAUCAAGCAGCUGAUAGUAUCCAGGAACAACAGAGACAAGAACAAGCAGGAAAAAAUUUGGGUACAACAAAAAAGGGGAAUUGGGCCAGUUUAUUCUUCCAAAGCUCAGAGUGGACUCAGGAUGUGAGAUCUUGUUUCUGACUUUGAUGGCUUCUCGGAGAGGUUUAAAGUUCUAGCCAACAAAUACAAAUCUAUAUACCCCACUUUGGAAAUAGGCAUUGAAGGUGAAUUACAAAAACUCAAGGGUUAUAUGGAAAGGAUUAAGCCAAUGGUGAGAGAUGGAGUUUAUUUCCUAUACAAGGCCCUACAUGGACCACCAAAGAAACUCUUGGUAGAAGGUGCAAAUGCAGCACUAUUAGAUAGUGAUUUUGGGACUUACCCUUUUGUAACCUCUUCAAAUUGUACUGUUGGAGGUAUUUGUACUGGUUUGGGUAUGCCCCCUCAAAAGGUAGGAGAAGUUUAUGGAGUCGUGAAAACUUAUACAACUAGAGUUGGUAUUGGUGCCUUUCCUACAGAGCAAGACAAUGAAAUUGGAAAAUUAUUACACACAGGGGUAGAGAGUUGGCGUUAACUACUGGAAGGAAAAGAAGAUGUGGCUGGUUGGACCUCGUUUUGCUCAAAUAUGUUCAUAUGAUCAAUGGAUUUACUGCGUUGGCAGUUACCAAGUUGGAUAUUUCGGACAUGUUUAUGGAAAUCAAAGUUGGAGUUGCUUACAAGUUAGAUGGUGAUAUCAUACCUCAUAUCCCAGCAAACCAAGAAGUCUUAAAUAAAGUUGAAGUUCAGUAUAAGACUCUCCCAGGAUGGAACACAGACAUAUCAAAUGCAAGGAUGUUUAAAGAACUACCUGUUAAUGCACAAAACUAUGUUCGAUUUAUUGAAGAUGAGCUUCAAAUUCCAGUUAAAUGGAUUGGUGUUGGUAAAUCCAGAGAGUCUAUGAUUCAGCUCUUUUAAUGAUUGCCAGUAACACAAGAAACACUCCUUCAGAGGGAGGGGAAAAGACUUUCUUAAAUAUUUCAUUUAUCACCUGCAAAUUUAAGAAUAAAGACAUUGAAGUGAGUUGGUAAGCCCU